GAUGAAGAACGCAGCGAAAUGCGAUACGUAAUGUGAAUUGCAAAUUCAGUGAAUCAUCGAGUCUUUGAACGCACAUUGCGCCCCCUGGUAUUCCGGGGGGCAUGCCUGUCCGAGCGUCAUUGCUGCCCUCAAGCACGGCUUGUGUGUUGGGCCCCGUCCUCCGAUCCCGGGGGACGGGCCCGAAAGGCAGCGGCGGCACCGCGUCCGGUCCUCGAGCGUAUGGGGCUUUGUCACCCGCUCUGUAGGCCCGGCCGGCGCUUGACGAUCAACCCAAAUUUUUAUCCAGGUUGACCUCGGAUCAGGUAGGGAUACCCGCUGAACUUAAGCAUAUCAAUAAGCGGAGGA
This 345-nucleotide unclassified non-coding RNA is filed under the name soil metagenome. Its description in RNAcentral is "partial contains 5.8S ribosomal RNA, internal transcribed spacer 2, and large subunit ribosomal RNA". The stretch from base 1 to 119 matches the Rfam family "5.8S ribosomal RNA", at positions 35 to 154 of the family's 154-position model. The record is from RNAcentral.